This 102-nucleotide non-coding RNA is filed under the name Bacillus sp. (in: firmicutes). RNAcentral's name for it is "Bacillus sp. Guanine sequence". It matches the Rfam family "Purine riboswitch aptamer". From Rfam's summary of the family: Riboswitches are metabolite binding domains within certain messenger RNAs that serve as precision sensors for their corresponding targets. Lineage: Bacteria; Bacillati; Bacillota; Bacilli; Caryophanales; Bacillaceae. The record is from RNAcentral. RNAcentral also lists the same sequence under 1 other name.
AAAGAAUUUGUCAUAUUGUGUCGUAUAAUAUUGGGGAUAUGGCCCAAAAGUUUCUACCGAGCUACCGUAAAUAGCUUGACUACGAGGCAAGUUUUUAAUAGA